GUCGUAACAAGGUUUCCGUAGGUGAACCUGCGGAAGGAUCAUUGUCGAAUCCUGUAGUAGCAGACCGCGAACAUGUUUAAUCACAUUGGGAUUGUGGCGGGGGUAAUCUCUCGUCGCAUCCCCCUCCCUGCACGCACUCGCUUUAGUGGGUGUUGUGUGGGCUAACGAACCCCGGCGCGGAAUGCGCCAAGGAUUACUAAUGAAUUGUCCACCCACUUGGCCCCGUUCGCGGUGAGUUAGGGGGAGAGGAUGAAUCUCCAAUGUCAAAACGACUCUCGGCAACGGAUAUCUCGGCUCUCGCAUCGAUGAAGAACGUAGCGAAAUGCGAUACUUGGUGUGAAUUGCAGAAUCCCGUGAACCAUCGAGUCUUUGAACGCAAGUUGCGCCCAAAGCCUUUUGGCCAAGGGCACGUCUGCUUGGGCGUCACGCAUCGUGUUGCCCCCUCCUCUGUCCUUCUGGGACAAUGCUUAGGUGGGGGCGGAUAAUGGCCUCCCGUUCGUCAUGACGUGCGGUUGGUCCAAAUGAGAUCCUGCGGCGAUGCACGUCGCGACCAGUGGUGGUUGAACUCUCAACUCAACUCUCGUGUCGUUGUGACGUUUGGCGUUGUGCGGUGGGAUUAUUGCAUACCCAAUCGUGCGAUCUAUUUCGCGCUUUCGACCGCGACCCCA
Molecule: small RNA, 668 nt
Filed under: Cistanche phelypaea subsp. lutea
Lineage: Eukaryota; Viridiplantae; Streptophyta; Magnoliopsida; Lamiales; Orobanchaceae
Also listed under: 3 other names
Description: eukaryotic LSU rRNA
Rfam family: 5.8S ribosomal RNA (bases 271-426)
Source: RNAcentral